AUACGUAGGGAGCGAGCGUUGUCCGGAUUUACUGGGUGUAAAGGGAGCGUAGACGGCAAAGCAAGUCUGAAGUGAAAGCCCCGGGCUCAACCCGGGAAUUGCUUUGGAAACUGUUUAGCUGGAGUGCAGGAGAGGUAAGCGGAAUUCCUAGUGUAGCGGUGAAAUGCGUAGAUAUUAGGAGGAACACCGGCGGCGAAGGCGGCUUACUGGACUGUAACUGACGUUGAGGCUCGAAAGCGUGGGGAGCAAACAGGAUUAGAUACCCUGGUAGUCCACGCCGUAAACGAUGAUUACUAGGUGUUGGUUGUCAUAGACAAUCGGUGCCGCAGCAAACGCAAUAAGUAAUCCACCUGGGGAGUACGUUCGCAAGAAUGAAACUCAAAGGAAUUGACGGGG
This 396-nucleotide ribosomal RNA is filed under the name uncultured bacterium. RNAcentral's name for it is "partial 16S ribosomal RNA". It matches the Rfam family "Bacterial small subunit ribosomal RNA", at positions 523 to 918 of the family's 1533-position model. The record is from RNAcentral.